This 249-nucleotide long non-coding RNA is filed under the name Elaeis guineensis (African oil palm). RNAcentral's name for it is "long non-coding RNA (EGUI_LNC065301)". Lineage: Eukaryota; Viridiplantae; Streptophyta; Magnoliopsida; Arecales; Arecaceae. The record is from RNAcentral.
AUUUUGAUGAUUACAAAACAGAUUGAAGGGAUACAAAUAAUUUUAAAAUGAAAAAGUCCUUAUGCUCUUCAAGGGCAAAAUCAUAAUUUCACUAAAAUCCUGAUUUGAUAGUACCAUUUGGUAGAACAAAUGAUUUGAAAUCUAUUGGUGAAAAUUUCAUUGUGUUUGGACUUAUAUUUUUGAAGUUAUGAAGGUUUGAAGUGCAUGAGUCGACUUAUGAGUCAACUCAUGGCACUGUGAGCUGAUUGG